GAUGAACGCUAGCGGCAGGCCUAAUACAUGCAAGUCGAGGGAGAAGUUGUCUUCGGAUGACAGGAACCGGCGAACGGGUGCGUAACACGUAUGCAAUCUGCCCCUGACUGGAGCAUAGCCCGGGGAAACUCGGAUUAAUACUCCAUAGCAUUUGAAUUAUAGUAAAGAUUUAUCGGUAGAGGAUGAGCAUGCGUCCCAUUAGCUUGUUGGUGUGGUAACGGCACACCAAGGCAACGAUGGGUAGGGGCCCUGAGAGGGGGAUCCCCCACACUGGUACUGAGACACGGACCAGACUCCUACGGGAGGCAGCAGUGAGGAAUAUUGGACAAUGGGCGGGAGCCUGAUCCAGCCAUGCCGCGUGCAGGAAGACUGCCCUAUGGGUUGUAAACUGCUUUUUACGGGAAGAAACACCCCCACGUGUGGGGGCUUGACGGUACCGUACGAAUAAGGAUCGGCUAACUCCGUG
Molecule: ribosomal RNA, 466 nt
Filed under: uncultured bacterium
Lineage: Bacteria
Description: bacterial SSU rRNA
Rfam family: Bacterial small subunit ribosomal RNA
Source: RNAcentral